GCCUGGCUGGCUGAGUCGGCAGAGCAUGCAACUCUUGAUCUCUGGGUCAUGAGUUCAAGUCCCAGGUUGGAUGC
RNAcentral lists this transfer RNA (74 nucleotides) under Canis lupus familiaris (dog). RNAcentral's name for it is "tRNA-Lys". The record is from RNAcentral. Lineage: Eukaryota; Metazoa; Chordata; Mammalia; Carnivora; Canidae.